CUGGGCGUAAAGCGUGCGCAGGCGGUUAUGUAAGACAGAUGUGAAAUCCCCGGGCUCAACCUGGGAACUGCGUUUGUGACUGCAUAACUAGAGUACGGCAGAGGGAGGUGGAAUUCCGCGUGUAGCAGUGAAAUGCGUAGAUAUGCGGAGGAACACCGAUGGCGAAGGCAGCCUCCUGGGCCAGUACUGACGCUCAUGCACGAAAGCGUGGGGAGCAAACAGGAUUAGAUACCCUGGUAGUCCACGCCCUAAACGAUGUCAACUAGUUGUUCGGUGAGGAGACUCAUUGAGUAACGCAGCUAACGCGUGAAGUUGACCGCCUGGGGAGUACGGCCGCAAGGUUAAAACUCAAAGGAAUUGACGGGGACCCGCACAAGCGGUGGAUGAUGUGGAUUAAUUCGAUGCAACGCGAAAAACCUUACCUACCCUUGACAUGCCAGGAACUUGCCAGAG
This 453-nucleotide ribosomal RNA is filed under the name uncultured bacterium. RNAcentral's name for it is "bacterial SSU rRNA". It matches the Rfam family "Bacterial small subunit ribosomal RNA", at positions 554 to 1005 of the family's 1533-position model. The record is from RNAcentral.